UAUUGGCUUAGCUUAAUGACGUGGGUGCUGGAGUUGAUUUCUAGCCUCACACCUGGCAUAUCUCGAUUUUGGAGGAUAAAGAUACACGUGGUAAGGUCGUUUGCUUGCUUUAGUAUUAAACUUUGAUAUCGAGCCGACGCCCUCUAAGGCCGAGUCGAUCAAGAUUCUCUUGGUUCUGCUCCCAUUCUUUGAUCGAACCGACCUAAACCUACUCGAUCCAGCCUUAUAUUUCGACAUACUCAACGACAGCACGCCGCGAUCCACGGCAACCUUGCCUUGGGAUGAUAAGGUCGUCUGCUUGCCUUGGUAUUAAACCUUGAUACUGAGCUGACGCCCUUUAGGAUCGAGCUGAUCAAGAUUCUCUUGGUUUUGUUCCCAUUCUUUGAUCGAACUGACCUGGACCUACUCGACUCGGUCUAAUUCCGACAGACUCCACGACAGCACGUCGCAAUUCACGGCAACCUUAAAGAGUCGUUAAGGUCCUAUUGAAAACCUUGUCGGAGACCCUGCCUAUAUACAAAAGUCAUUUGCUCCAAUUUCAAGUACGUGAAUACAAUAUUCCUCUGUAGAUAUUGCUCGAGUUCUUCUUAACUUGGAUGUCGGAGUGUUUUCUGUCUUGCAGGUCUCCUGUUCGGUUCUCUCCAACUCGUCCUCCAGGUCAUCUUUCGGUUCGAGCCGAGGUUCGCAGGCUUGGUCAUUUUUGUGAUCAAACAGCUGGUAUCUUCGACCAAAAUGUCUAAGUGGAAUCAGAGCCUGUCACGUAGUCCUCCCACUCGAAAACAUGUGUUAGUGACAUGACUCAAAUAAGUUGAGGACGAGACGAGUCAGGUGAAGUCACCUUUGAUCGAUCCUGCGAAAGCUCAGCUCAACUCUGACUUGAAACCACAUAUGACAUCAACAUGAAACAUCGAAACGGCAGAACAGCCAUCAAAUCGACUUAAUUUAACAUUCACCUCAAAUCAGUAGCUGAUCCUUCGUGUCUUUCGCAAUCCUAUAUAACAAUUUCAGUUAUAAGUUAUUUAAAAUACUUCGUACAAAUUUCAUAAACCUUUAAUAAUGAAGUACAAUGGAGGAUGCUUUCUCAAGCUUAUCCAUAAUAAUUUUUUUAAUAAACCGAAAGAAAAAAGAAAACAUUGUAUUUUGUCUUGUAGUGAAUUGGAAUAUGCAAAGAUAUGGUUCCUUGAAUCGCAAAUUCAGGAGAUCAGAGAGAACCUGACCAUUGAAAUUAUCCAAUUCCAAUACAAAAAUUAGGGAUUUUUCACCUUAAUGUAAUAUAAUAAUGUCUUAUUAUUCCCUAUUUU
Molecule: long non-coding RNA, 1301 nt
Organism: Momordica charantia (bitter melon)
Lineage: Eukaryota; Viridiplantae; Streptophyta; Magnoliopsida; Cucurbitales; Cucurbitaceae
Source: RefSeq, a predicted model, not a curated record